This is a long non-coding RNA of Pteronotus mesoamericanus, 527 nucleotides long. RefSeq lists it as uncharacterized. The transcript has 3 exons. Lineage: Eukaryota; Metazoa; Chordata; Mammalia; Chiroptera; Mormoopidae. The record is from RefSeq and is a predicted model, not a curated record.
GCGGUCCUCAGAAGAGGAAGCUGGCCGGAGGGGGCGGGGCCUGAGGCGAGCGGCUAGAGAUGGGGAUACUCAGAACAGCUUUACACGGAUCGACUGAUGAGGCCCGGGGAGGCCAGUGGGUUGCAGGAGCGUGGGGUAGCAGUCGGUCUCUUGCCUACAUACAAUGAAUUUUCAACAAGCUUGCUCUGGGGAGGCCUGAGCCACGGGGUAGACUCGGUCCACAACCGGCCGUAGACGAUGGGGGCUCUCCGUGGAGAAGUGGGGCACAACUUGUUCUGUAAAAGCCUUCACCAGCGUUUGCUUGUACUGAGAUAAAGAAAAGGAGACCAUCAGCCUGGACAGAGGCCUUACCUUGCUACUUCCCAUCCUGCUUAGCCUUCGUGCUCUCUGUGAAAUGCGUACCCAUCUGAAAAAGCACACAGGGGUACCUAACCCCUUCAUUGGCAGCUUGUAUGUGUAUGCCCCCCAAUGUGUAACCUCUGUUCUGUACCAGAUAAAGGCUGAAGUCUGGAGUAAAAUAUUAGUGC